RNAcentral lists this ribosomal RNA (253 nucleotides) under uncultured bacterium. RNAcentral describes it as "partial 16S ribosomal RNA". It matches the Rfam family "Bacterial small subunit ribosomal RNA", at positions 524 to 776 of the family's 1533-position model. The record is from RNAcentral.
UACGAAGGGAGCUAGCGUUGCUCGGAAUCACUGGGCGUAAAGGGUGCGUAGGCGGGUUUUUAAGUCAGGGGUGAAAUCCUGGAGCUCAACUCCAGAACUGCCUUUGAUACUGAAGAUCUUGAGUCCGGGAGAGGUGAGUGGAACUGCGAGUGUAGAGGUGAAAUUCGUAGAUAUUCGCAAGAACACCAGUGGCGAAGGCGGCUCACUGGCCCGGUACUGACGCUGAGGCACGAAGGUCAGGGGAGCAAACGGG